RNAcentral lists this ribosomal RNA (262 nucleotides) under uncultured bacterium. RNAcentral describes it as "partial 16S ribosomal RNA". It matches the Rfam family "Bacterial small subunit ribosomal RNA", at positions 524 to 786 of the family's 1533-position model. The record is from RNAcentral.
UACGUAGGGUGCAAGCGUUGUCCGGAAUUAUUGGGCGUAAAGAGCUCGUAGGCGGUUUGUCGCGUCUGCUGUGAAAACUCGGGGCUUAACCCCGGGCCUGCAGUGGUACGGGCAGACUAGAGUGCGGUAGGGGAGACUGGAAUUCCUGGUGUAGCGGUGAAAUGCGUAGAUAUCAGGAGGAAUACCGGUGGCGAAGGCGGGUCUCUGGGCCGUAACUGACGCUGAGGAGCGAAAGCGUGGGGAGCGAACAGGAUUAGAUACC